AUUGAACGCUGGCGGCAGGCCUAACACAUGCAAGUCGAAUGGUAACAGGAAACAGCUUGCUGUUUCGCUGACGAGUGGCGGACGGGUGAGUAAUGUCUGGGAAACUGCCUGAUGGAGGGGGAUAACUACUGGAAACGGUAGCUAAUACCGCAUAACGUCGCAAGACCAAAGAGGGGGACCUUCGGGCCCCUUGCCAUAAGAUGUGCCCAGAUGGGAUUAGCUAGUAGGUGGGGUAACGGCUCACCUAGGCGACGAUCCCUAGCUGGUCUGAGAGGAUGACCAGCCACACUGGAACUGAGACACGGUCCAGACUCCUACGGGAGGCAGCAGUGGGGAAUAUUGCACAAUGGGCGCAAGCCUGAUGCAGCCAUGCCGCGUGUAUGAAGAAGGCCUUCGGGUUGUAAAGUACUUUCAGCGGGGAGGAAGGGAGUAAAGUUAAUACCUUUGCUCAUUGACGUUACCCGCAGAAGAAGCACCGGCUAACUCCGUG
This 490-nucleotide ribosomal RNA is filed under the name uncultured bacterium. RNAcentral describes it as "partial 16S ribosomal RNA". It matches the Rfam family "Bacterial small subunit ribosomal RNA", at positions 30 to 507 of the family's 1533-position model. The record is from RNAcentral.